Molecule: ribosomal RNA, 1425 nt
Filed under: metagenome
Description: bacterial SSU rRNA
Rfam family: Archaeal small subunit ribosomal RNA
Source: RNAcentral
GAGGUCACCGUUAUCAGGUUUCGACUAAGCCAUGCGAGGCGCGAGAUAUCUGGUCUCGCCGAACUGCUCAGUAACACGUAGUCAACCUAACCUUAAGUGGGGGAUAAUCUCGGGAAACUGAGGCUAAUACCCCAUAGUCGUCGAAUGCUGGAAUGCAUCGACAAUCAAAGUCACGGCGCUUAAGGGUGGGACUGCGACCUAUCAUGGUAGUUGUGAGUAUAAGAUACUCACAAGCCUAUAACGGGUAGGGGCCAUGAGAGUGGGAGCCUCGAGAUGCAUUCUGAGACAUGAAUGCAGGUCCUACGGGACGCAGCAGGCGCGAAAACUUUCCAAUAGCUUAACGGCUGAGAGGGGAAGCCUGAGUGGAUACGUUUUACGUAUUCUUUUGCUUUGUCCAAACAACAAGGCGAAUAAGUGGUGGGUAAGACGGGUGGCAGCCGCCGCGGUAAUACCCGCGCCACGAAUGGUGACCGCGAUUAUUGGGUCUAAAGCGUCCGUAGCCGGUUUAACAAGUUCUUGGUUAAAUCCAGCGGCUAACUGUUGGGCUCGCUGAGAAUACUGUUAAACUUGAGAUUGGGAGAGGGUAGGGGUAUUCCACGUGUAGGGGUUAAAUCCUUUAAUCCGUGGAAGACCACCGGUGGCGAAGGCGCCUACCUAGAACAAGUCUGACGGUGAGGGACGAAAGCUAGGGGAGCAAACGGGAUUAGAUACCCCGAUAGUCCUAGCAGUAAACGAUGCCCGUUUGAUGUUGCAAACUCUACGGGAGUUUGCAGUGUCGGAGCGUAGGUGUUAAACGGGCCACCUGGGGAGUACGGCCGCAAGUUGAAACUUAAGGGAAUUGGCGGGAGAGCACACAAGGGGUGGAGGCUGCGGUUUAAUCGGAUUCAACGCCGAACAUCUCACAAGAGUCGACAGCAGAAUGAAGGUCAUCCUGAAGGGCUUACCAGACAAGCUGAGAGGUGUUGCAUGGCCAUCGUCAGCUCGUACCUUGAGGCGUGCAGUUAAGUCUGUUAACGAGCGAGACCCAAACUACCAUUUGCUACCACAUUUUCAGAUUAUAUCAAAAAAGUGUGAGCACUAUGGCAGGACCGCUGGUGAUAAAUCAGAGGAAGGAUUGGGCGACGGUAGGUCCGUAUGGCCCGGAUACUCUUGGCUACACGCGGCCUACAAUGGUUGGGACAAUGCGCUGCGACGCCGAAAGGCGAAGCCAAUCGUCAAACCCAACCUCAGUUCAGAUCGUGGGCUGUAACUCGCCCACGUGAAGCCGGAAUCCCUAGUAAGCGAACGUCAUAAUCGUUCGCUGAAUACGUCCCUGCUCUUUGCACACACCGCCUGUCAAGCCAUGCGAGUAGAUCUUCGGUGAGGCUUAGUUCUUAACUAAUUCGAGCCGGAGGUCUGCAAGUGGGGCUAAGUCAUAACAAGGUA